GGCGAGGUAGCUCAACGGCAGAGCAAGGGCAUCAUAAUCCCUAGGUUGUGGGUUCAAAUCCCACCUUCGCCA
RNAcentral lists this transfer RNA (72 nucleotides) under Chloroflexota bacterium. RNAcentral's name for it is "Chloroflexi bacterium (permafrost metagenome) tRNA-Met". It matches the Rfam family "tRNA". From Rfam's summary of the family: Transfer RNA (tRNA) molecules are approximately 80 nucleotides in length. Their secondary structure includes four short double-helical elements and three loops (D, anti-codon, and T loops). Further hydrogen bonds mediate the characteristic L-shaped molecular structure. tRNAs have two regions of fundamental functional importance: the anti-codon, which is responsible for specific mRNA codon recognition, and the 3' end, to which the tRNAs corresponding amino acid is attached (by aminoacyl-tRNA synthetases). tRNAs cope with the degeneracy of the genetic code in two manners: having more than one tRNA (with a specific anti-codon) for a particular amino acid; and 'wobble' base-pairing, i.e. permitting non-standard base-pairing at the 3rd anti-codon position. The record is from RNAcentral. RNAcentral also lists the same sequence under 2 other names. Lineage: Bacteria; Bacillati; Chloroflexota.